GCGGCUGUGGUGGAAUGGCAGACACGCUACUUUGAGGUGGUAGUGAGAUUUUCUCGUGUGGGUUCAACUCCCACCAGCCGCACCA
RNAcentral lists this transfer RNA (85 nucleotides) under Candidatus Phascolarctobacterium equi. RNAcentral's name for it is "tRNA-Leu". It matches the Rfam family "tRNA". Rfam says of the family: Transfer RNA (tRNA) molecules are approximately 80 nucleotides in length. Their secondary structure includes four short double-helical elements and three loops (D, anti-codon, and T loops). The record is from RNAcentral. Lineage: Bacteria; Bacillati; Bacillota; Negativicutes; Acidaminococcales; Acidaminococcaceae.